GGAGCAAUAGCUCAGUGGUAGAGCUUCCGCUUCGUAUGCGGUAAAACCUGCGUUCGAUUCCCGGCUGCUUUC
RNAcentral lists this transfer RNA (72 nucleotides) under Toxocara canis (dog roundworm). It matches the Rfam family "tRNA". From Rfam's summary of the family: Transfer RNA (tRNA) molecules are approximately 80 nucleotides in length. Their secondary structure includes four short double-helical elements and three loops (D, anti-codon, and T loops). Lineage: Eukaryota; Metazoa; Nematoda; Chromadorea; Rhabditida; Toxocaridae. The record is from Rfam by way of RNAcentral.